UGCAAGGUAAGCACCCCCAAAGCAAUAUUGUGAUGUAAGGCUGGUAUACAGUAACAGAGGGCACUGUGAGGCAUCUUACAGCCACCUUCAUUUAGGAUGCUGUUUCUGAGGACCAUGACCCUUCUGUGAACUCCUGCCAUGAACACUGACGUUGACAUUGCUUAUCACUGAAGGAGUCCUAGAGAUAAUCAACUAUCAACUCAAUUGUGUAGAUGCCAUCAGAGGCUCAAAGAGCUCAACUGAGUUAUCCAAAGUCACACAUGAAGUUAGUUAUGCUCUGAGAGAUUUACUGAACAUUUGGACAACCUCACAUCAUAUCAUCUCAAGAUGGCGACUACUGCAUCAUUACAGAGAAAUACCAUAAAGCAGCGAGCUCAGGCAAAUACUAAGUGCUGGAGACUGAGGGCACAAACAUGCCACAGAAACGCAGGAGGCUGCCAGUAUCAGAGGGGCUACACGGGAGGCAUUUCUGCAUGUGUUUCUUUGACAGCGUCUACUGAGUG
This 503-nucleotide long non-coding RNA is filed under the name Mus pahari (shrew mouse). RNAcentral's name for it is "lncRNA (MGP_PahariEiJ_G0003905.1)". The record is from RNAcentral. Lineage: Eukaryota; Metazoa; Chordata; Mammalia; Rodentia; Muridae.